GAUGCAGACAACACAAGGGAAAAGGUCAUAUAAUUUCAUUUUCUCACUUACCUCAUUAAUGCAAAACAAACCUCUAUCUGAAAUUAAAAUUAUCUACAAUUGAGCACAUCUCAUUCACUUCCAUGGGCUCAAGAUUUUCUCAUUUAUCUGCAAUCAUGCGCUUCUUAGUUCUCAUUCACUUGUCAUUCAUUUUAAGUUGGUAGAGUGUCAUUCUUUUUUGUAAACUUCAGUGUUUUCUUCUUAGAAAAAUCAGGAGAACAAGUAAAUUCCUUCUCUUUUCUUUAUUAUCUAUUUUUCUCUUGUUAUUGGUUUUCCUUGAUGUUUUUGAGCUAACUAUUGCCUUUCCUGAAAUAGUAGCUGGAUGACCUGCAACAUUAUUGCACUGCCUUAGAUCUGUUAGUUGUUGGUCUUGCUAUUGAUUUUUUCUUGGAAACAAACCUGUGGUUACUGCUGGUUAUAUUCUGUUUGGUAUUCUACUUGUGGAGCUGCAAGCAGGCCCUUAAAUUUGCUUUUUGGUAGGAAAUUUAAAAUUUAAGGAUUUCAACUUGACUUUCAAAUCUAUUCAAAAUAAGAAAAGUUUUAGUUGAAAAUUGCAUAAAUGAAUUUUUUGACUGAUAAAGAAUAUGAACAGAAACAUUUGUAGUCUCUAGUCCAAAUUUCAGUGUUUGAAAUAAACCUUGUUUUUAAGUAUUUCAAAUUCUCCCUGAAACAAGGUUUUAUCUGCAUUUGUUGGUCUAAAGAAAUAAAAAUCAAUGCCCUGUAAACUUUGCUCAAGCAAUUUACCCAAAAGCAACCACAAUUCAAGUCCUAUUUUAUUAGCUGUGCUGAAUAACUAAAUUGUUUUUAUUAAUUGUAUUUUAAUUUUUGGUUUUUUUUUGUUUUCUGUUCCUGCAGAUUCACAAAAUGCAUAUGUUGA
This 916-nucleotide unclassified non-coding RNA is filed under the name Hevea brasiliensis (rubber tree). The record is from RNAcentral. Lineage: Eukaryota; Viridiplantae; Streptophyta; Magnoliopsida; Malpighiales; Euphorbiaceae.